RNAcentral lists this non-coding RNA (185 nucleotides) under Caldisalinibacter kiritimatiensis. The record is from RNAcentral. Lineage: Bacteria; Bacillati; Bacillota; Tissierellia; Tissierellales; Thermohalobacteraceae.
UUUAAUAAUAUGCUAUUAGGUGUUUCGAAAGAAACUUAAAAGGGAAAGUGGUGAAAAUCCACUACAGCCCCCGCUACUGUAAGUGAGGAUGAAAUCAACAUAUGCCACUGGAACUAAGUUCUGGGAAGGCGUUGAGAGUAAUAUGAUUCACAAGUCAGUAGACCUGCCUGGUAGCUUAAAUAACC